GGCCGGUAGGGUUGUCAAGCUCUUUCAACGGUGAAGAUAAUGACGGUACCCGCAGAAGAAGCCCCGGCUAACUUCGUGCCAGCAGCCGCGGUAAUACGAAGGGGGCAAGCGUUAUUCGGAUUUACUGGGCGUAAAGCGCACGUAGGCGGUUUUUUAAGUCAGGUGUGAAAUCCCGGGGCUCACCCCCGGAACUGCCUUUGAUACUGGAAGUCUAGAGUAUGGAAGAGGUGAGUGGAAUUCCGAGUGUAGCGGUGAAAUUCGUAGAUAUUCGGAGGAACACCAGUGGCGAAGGCGGCUCACUGGUACAUCACUGACGCUGAGGCGCGAAAGCGUGGGGAGCAAACAGGAUUAGAUACCCUGGUAGU
RNAcentral lists this ribosomal RNA (365 nucleotides) under Brucella sp. RNAcentral's name for it is "bacterial SSU rRNA". It matches the Rfam family "Bacterial small subunit ribosomal RNA", at positions 413 to 794 of the family's 1533-position model. Lineage: Bacteria; Pseudomonadati; Pseudomonadota; Alphaproteobacteria; Hyphomicrobiales; Brucellaceae. The record is from RNAcentral.